RNAcentral lists this ribosomal RNA (446 nucleotides) under uncultured bacterium. RNAcentral's name for it is "partial 16S ribosomal RNA". It matches the Rfam family "Bacterial small subunit ribosomal RNA", at positions 328 to 792 of the family's 1533-position model. The record is from RNAcentral.
UCGCCAGACUCCUACGGGAGGCAGCAGUGGGGAAUAUUGCACAAUGGGCGAAAGCCUGAUGCGGCAACGCCGCGUGGGCGAUGAAGGCCUUCGGGUCGUAAAGCUCUGUCCUCAAGGAAGAUAAUGACGGUACUUGAGGAGGAAGCCCCGGCUAACUACGUGCCAGCAGCCGCGGUAAUACGUAGGGGGCUAGCGUUAUCCGGAAUUACUGGGCGUAAAGGGCGCGUAGGUGGUUUCUUAAGUCAGAGGUGAAAGGCUACGGCUCAACCGUAGUAAGCCUUUGAAACUGGGGAACUUGAGUGCAGGAGAGGAGAGUGGAAUUCCUAGUGUAGCGGUGAAAUGCGUAGAUAUACGGAGGAACACCAGUGGCGAAGGCGGCCUGCUGGACAUUAACUGACGCUGAGGCGCGAAAGCGUGGGGAGCAAACAGGAUUAGAUACCCCGGUA